UACAGAGGUCUCGAGCGUUAGGCGGAAUCACUGGGCUUAAAGCGUGUGUAGGCGGGUCGUUAAGUACCUUGUGAAAUCCCAUGGCUCAACCAUGGAACUGCUGGGUAUACUGGCGAUCUUGUGCAACCUAGGGGCGAGCGGAACAGAUGGCGGAGCGGUGAAAUGCGUAGAUAUCAUCUGGAACGCCAAUGGUGAAAACAGCUCGCUGGGGGUUUGCAGACGCUGAGACACGAAAGCCAGGGGAGCGAACGGG
Molecule: ribosomal RNA, 253 nt
Filed under: uncultured bacterium
Lineage: Bacteria
Description: partial 16S ribosomal RNA
Rfam family: Bacterial small subunit ribosomal RNA
Source: RNAcentral